RNAcentral lists this ribosomal RNA (432 nucleotides) under uncultured bacterium. RNAcentral's name for it is "partial 16S ribosomal RNA". It matches the Rfam family "Bacterial small subunit ribosomal RNA", at positions 29 to 506 of the family's 1533-position model. The record is from RNAcentral.
AACGAACGCUGGCGGCAUGCCUAACACAUGCAAGUCGAACGAGACCUUCGUGUCUAGUUGCGCUCGGGUGCGUAACGCGUGGGAACCUGCCCUUAGGCUUCGAAUAACACCUCGAAAUGGGUGCUAAUACCGGAUAAUGUCUUCGGAUAAAAGAUUUAUCGCCUUUGGAUGGGCCCGCGUUGUAUUAGCCAGUUGGUAUGGUAAAAGCCUACCAAGGCGACGAUCCAUAGCUGGUAUGAGAGGAUGAUCAGCCACACUGGGACUGAGACACGGCCCAGACUCCUACGGAAGGGAGCAGUGGGGAAUAAUGGACAAUGGGCGAAAGCCUGAUCCAGCAAGGCCGCGUGAGUGAUGAAGGCGGUAGGGUAGGAAAGCUCUUUUAACCGGGAUGAUAAUGAGAGUACCGGGAGAAUAAGCUCCGGCUAAUUCGGU